This 1899-nucleotide ribosomal RNA is filed under the name Triticum aestivum (bread wheat). Its description in RNAcentral is "partial small subunit ribosomal RNA". The record is from RNAcentral. Lineage: Eukaryota; Viridiplantae; Streptophyta; Magnoliopsida; Poales; Poaceae.
AUGUGGCUCGACAACUACUCGGUUACGCAUUAUCGUCCACACAAGGUGGUGCACUCGGACGUCAAUGUGCGCUACACGGUUGCAUGUGCAUGUGAAGAUGAAAUAUGUCUGUGGAUUGUGCAUGCAAGACCAUGGAAAGGAGGUCCCACUUGGCACGUAGUGAGUUGUGUGCCAACUCACAUGUGCCGAGGCAAAAGGGUGGAUGGCAAGAUUGUGUCCCAAGACCACAGACAACUCAUGUCUGAGUUCAUCGCUUACAGUCUCUCGAACUCAAUAUCCACACUUCCAACAAUGAGCGUCCAACAUGUCAUUGACCUUGUGAAAGCCAUCUUUCAUUACAAGGUGAAGUGCGGCAAGGCAUGGAAGGCGAAGCAAGCCGCAUUUAAGAUGUUGUAUGUUACUUGGGAGGAAGCAUACAACCGGAUCCCUAGGUUGUUGUUAGCCAUGUCCGCCACAAACCCGGGCAUGGUUCAUGUGGUCGAGCCUCAUGGGCACCAAACAACGGUUCAUGAAGGAAGGAAAGUCCGAGUAUUUGGUCGUGCAUUUUGGCCGUUCGAGCAACGCGUGAGGGCUUUCGAACACUGUAGGCCGGUCAUCUCCAUUGAUGGCACGUUCUUGACCGGACAAUACAAGGGCACCUUGUUGGUUGCGAUAGCAAGUGAUGCCAAUAACCGGGUGUUGCCAUUGGCAUUUGCUUUGGUUGAGGUGGAGAACAAUGACAACUGGGAGUGGUUUUUGCGUCUUUUGAGGACGAAGGUGUUACCCGCUCAAAGGGAAAUUUGUGUCAUAUCGGAUCGGCAUCCAAGAAUUCUUAAUGCGGUGGAGAUUGACAUUCCCGGGCAUGCUCCGUUGCACCAUCGAUGGUGCAUGAGGCACUUUUGUUCGAACUUCUAUAGGUCAUAUGGCCUUAAGGAGUUGGCCGAUGAUCUUCAAGAUUGUUGUCUCGCUUUCUCCGAGAAGCGGUUUGCCACUUUGUUGAACAAAUUGCUCGCACACAAAAAACUUGAUCCCUGGGGUCAAGACUUUAUCAAUAGGCACAUUCAACACCGGAACAAGUGGGCACGUGAUUUUGAUGAAGAUGGCCGGAGAUACGGUCAAAUGACAAGCAAUAUGGCCGAAUGCUUAAAUAGGGUGCUCAAAGGUGCACGUGGAUUACCCGUGACGGCAAUAGUUCAAUACACAUUUGACAAGAUGAAUGCAUACUUUCUAAAGUACUCGAUGGAAACUGAUGCACAGAUAGCGGGUGAGAACCCGCGCAAGUACAAGUACAAGUUCCCACCCAAGGUUGAUGAAUGGUUAAAAUUUCAAUCACGGAAGGCGGACUCAGAAGAAGCUAUAUUAUAUGACAAUGAAGAGUGGAAGUACGGAGUGAAAGAGCCAGGAGGAACCACAAACAAUGGCCGGCAACAUGUAGGUCGGGCUUUCAAGGUGUCGUUAACACAAUGUGAUUGCUCUUGCGGGAGGCCAUUGUUGCUUCAUCUCCCAUGCUCACACUUGUAUACCGCUGGUCGCGUUAGAAAUGUGGACAUCAAUCACCCAUGCACCAUGAGGGAGUUGGAGUUCUCAAUCAUGACGGUCAAGAAAACAUGGGCUCCCCGCUUUCACCCAUACUUUGACCAAUCACAAUGGCCGGAGUACCAUGGAGUUCAACUAUGGCCGGAUCCGGAGUUGAAGGUUGUUAAACGGGGUAGACGUAAGACAAAGCGUCUUAGAGGCGACAUGGACGGAUGGGGCCAUGGUGGCCGCCGCGAAGCGGGAAACAACCAAUUCCAAGAGCCUCGUGAGAGCUCCCGUUGUGGGGAAUGCAAAGGUCAUGGCCACAACAAAAGAAAAUGUACGAAACCAAGGAAAAGGUCCAAGAAAAAUGAUGCAAGCACUAGCCAACAAGGAGCUACAUAA